This 45-nucleotide non-coding RNA is filed under the name Schistosoma margrebowiei. Lineage: Eukaryota; Metazoa; Platyhelminthes; Trematoda; Strigeidida; Schistosomatidae. The record is from RNAcentral.
AUCCAGCUGACGAGUCCCAAAUAAGACGAGACGCGCGACCCGGAU